Firmicutes bacterium CAG:227 is the source of this 81-nucleotide regulatory RNA element. It matches the Rfam family "S10-Clostridia ribosomal protein leader". The record is from Rfam. NCBI's taxonomy places the organism in Bacteria, Bacillati, Bacillota.
UGAUAGCUAUGAAGCGCGAGGUUGCUGCCGAAAAGGCAGGUUUUCCGUGGAGCGAAUGUCAUGUUAGGAAACUGACGACAA